Molecule: ribosomal RNA, 1370 nt
Filed under: uncultured bacterium
Lineage: Bacteria
Description: bacterial SSU rRNA
Rfam family: Bacterial small subunit ribosomal RNA
Source: RNAcentral
AGAGUUUGAUCCUGGCUCAGGACGAACGCUGGCGGCGCGCCUAACACAUGCAAGUCGAACGAGCGAGAGAGAGCUUGCUUUCUCAAGCGAGUGGCGAACGGGUGAGUAACGCGUGAGGAACCUGCCUCAAAGAGGGGGACAACAGUUGGAAACGACUGCUAAUACCGCAUAAGCCCACAGCUCGGCAUCGAGCAGAGGGAAAAGGAGCAAUCCGCUUUGAGAUGGCCUCGCGUCCGAUUAGCUAGUUGGUGAGGUAAUGGCCCACCAAGGCGACGAUCGGUAGCCGGACUGAGAGGUUGAACGGCCACAUUGGGACUGAGACACGGCCCAGACUCCUACGGGAGGCAGCAGUGGGGAAUAUUGCACAAUGGGGGAAACCCUGAUGCAGCGACGCCGCGUGGAGGAAGAAGGUCUUCGGAUUGUAAACUCCUGUUGUUGAGGAAGAUAAUGACGGUACUCAACAAGGAAGUGACGGCUAACUACGUGCCAGCAGCCGCGGUAAAACGUAGGUCACAAGCGUUGUCCGGAAUUACUGGGUGUAAAGGGAGCGCAGGCGGGAACACAAGUUGGAAGUGAAAUCUAUGGGCUCAACCCAUAAACUGCUUUCAAAACUGUUCUUCUGNAGUAGUGCAGAGUNAGACGGAAUUCCCGGUGUAGCGGUGGAAUGCGUAGAUAUCGGGAGGAACACCAGUGGCGAAGGCGGCCUACUGGGCACCAACUGACGCUGAGGCUCGAAAGUGUGGGUAGCANACAGGAUUAGAUACNCUGGUAGUCCACACCGUAAACGAUGAUUACUAGGUGUUGGAGGAUUGACCCCUUCAGUGCCGCAGUUAACACAAUAAGUAAUCCACCUGGGGAGUACGACCGCAAGGUUGAAACUCAAAGGAAUUGACGGGGGCCCGCACAAGCAGUGGAGUAUGUGGUUUAAUUCGACGCAACGCGAAGAACCUUACCAAGUCUUGACAUCCCUUGACGAUGCUGGAAACAGUAUUUCUCUUCGGAGCAAGGAGACAGGUGGUGCAUGGUUGUCGUCAGCUCGUGUCGUGAGAUGUUGGGUUAAGUCCCGCAACGAGCGCAACCCUUACUGUCAGUUACUACGCAAGAGGACUCUGGCAGGACUGCCGUUGACAAAACGGAGGAAGGUGGGGAUGACGUCAAAUCAUCAUGCCCUUUAUGACUUGGGCUACACACGUACUACAAUGGCGUUAAACAAAGAGAAGCAAGACCGCGAGGUGGAGCAAAACUCAGAAACAACGUCCCAGUUCGGACUGCAGGCUGCAACUCGCCUGCACGAAGUCGGAAUUGCUAGUAAUCGUGGAUCAGCAUGCCACGGUGAAUACGUUCCCGGGCCUUGACACACCGCCCGUCAA